RNAcentral lists this ribosomal RNA (2214 nucleotides) under Escherichia coli. RNAcentral's name for it is "partial 23S ribosomal RNA". It matches the Rfam family "Bacterial large subunit ribosomal RNA", at positions 681 to 2873 of the family's 2925-position model. Lineage: Bacteria; Pseudomonadati; Pseudomonadota; Gammaproteobacteria; Enterobacterales; Enterobacteriaceae. The record is from RNAcentral.
GUCUUAACUGGGCGUUAAGUUGCAGGGUAUAGACCCGAAACCCGGUGAUCUAGCCAUGGGCAGGUUGAAGGUUGGGUAACACUAACUGGAGGACCGAACCGACUAAUGUUGAAAAAUUAGCGGAUGACUUGUGGCUGGGGGUGAAAGGCCAAUCAAACCGGGAGAUAGCUGGUUCUCCCCGAAAGCUAUUUAGGUAGCGCCUCGUGAAUUCAUCUCCGGGGGUAGAGCACUGUUUCGGCAAGGGGGUCAUCCCGACUUACCAACCCGAUGCAAACUGCGAAUACCGGAGAAUGUUAUCACGGGAGACACACGGCGGGUGCUAACGUCCGUCGUGAAGAGGGAAACAACCCAGACCGCCAGCUAAGGUCCCAAAGUCAUGGUUAAGUGGGAAACGAUGUGGGAAGGCCCAGACAGCCAGGAUGUUGGCUUAGAAGCAGCCAUCAUUUAAAGAAAGCGUAAUAGCUCACUGGUCGAGUCGGCCUGCGCGGAAGAUGUAACGGGGCUAAACCAUGCACCGAAGCUGCGGCAGCGACACUGUGUGUUGUUGGGUAGGGGAGCGUUCUGUAAGCCUGUGAAGGUGUGCUGUGAGGCAUGCUGGAGGUAUCAGAAGUGCGAAUGCUGACAUAAGUAACGAUAAAGCGGGUGAAAAGCCCGCUCGCCGGAAGACCAAGGGUUCCUGUCCAACGUUAAUCGGGGCAGGGUGAGUCGACCCCUAAGGCGAGGCCGAAAGGCGUAGUCGAUGGGAAACAGGUUAAUAUUCCUGUACUUGGUGUUACUGCGAAGGGGGGACGGAGAAGGCUAUGUUGGCCGGGCGACGGUUGUCCCGGUUUAAGCGUGUAGGCUGGUUUUCCAGGCAAAUCCGGAAAAUCAAGGCUGAGGCGUGAUGACGAGGCACUACGGUGCUGAAGCAACAAAUGCCCUGCUUCCAGGAAAAGCCUCUAAGCAUCAGGUAACAUCAAAUCGUACCCCAAACCGACACAGGUGGUCAGGUAGAGAAUACCAAGGCGCUUGAGAGAACUCGGGUGAAGGAACUAGGCAAAAUGGUGCCGUAACUUCGGGAGAAGGCACGCUGAUAUGUAGGUGAAGUCCCUCGCGGAUGGAGCUGAAAUCAGUCGAAGAUACCAGCUGGCUGCAACUGUUUAUUAAAAACACAGCACUGUGCAAACACGAAAGUGGACGUAUACGGUGUGACGCCUGCCCGGUGCCGGAAGGUUAAUUGAUGGGGUCAGCGCAAGCGAAGCUCUUGAUCGAAGCCCCGGUAAACGGCGGCCGUAACUAUAACGGUCCUAAGGUAGCGAAAUUCCUUGUCGGGUAAGUUCCGACCUGCACGAAUGGCGUAAUGAUGGCCAGGCUGUCUCCACCCGAGACUCAGUGAAAUUGAACUCGCUGUGAAGAUGCAGUGUACCCGCGGCAAGACGGAAAGACCCCGUGAACCUUUACUAUAGCUUGACACUGAACAUUGAGCCUUGAUGUGUAGGAUAGGUGGGAGGCUUUGAAGUGUGGACGCCAGUCUGCAUGGAGCCGACCUUGAAAUACCACCCUUUAAUGUUUGAUGUUCUAACGUGGACCCGUGAUCCGGGUUGCGGACAGUGUCUGGUGGGUAGUUUGACUGGGGCGGUCUCCUCCUAAAGAGUAACGGAGGAGCACGAAGGUUGGCUAAUCCUGGUCGGACAUCAGGAGGUUAGUGCAAUGGCAUAAGCCAGCUUGACUGCGAGCGUGACGGCGCGAGCAGGUGCGAAAGCAGGUCAUAGUGAUCCGGUGGUUCUGAAUGGAAGGGCCAUCGCUCAACGGAUAAAAGGUACUCCGGGGAUAACAGGCUGAUACCGCCCAAGAGUUCAUAUCGACGGCGGUGUUUGGCACCUCGAUGUCGGCUCAUCACAUCCUGGGGCUGAAGUAGGUCCCAAGGGUAUGGCUGUUCGCCAUUUAAAGUGGUACGCGAGCUGGGUUUAGAACGUCGUGAGACAGUUCGGUCCCUAUCUGCCGUGGGCGCUGGAGAACUGAGGGGGGCUGCUCCUAGUACGAGAGGACCGGAGUGGACGCAUCACUGGUGUUCGGGUUGUCAUGCCAAUGGCACUGCCCGGUAGCUAAAUGCGGAAGAGAUAAGUGCUGAAAGCAUCUAAGCACGAAACUUGCCCCGAGAUGAGUUCUCCCUGACCCUUUAAGGGUCCUGAAGGAACGUUGAAGACGACGACGUUGAUAGGCCGGGUGUGUAAG